RNAcentral lists this transfer RNA (64 nucleotides) under Austropallene cornigera. RNAcentral describes it as "tRNA-Gly". The record is from RNAcentral. Lineage: Eukaryota; Metazoa; Arthropoda; Pycnogonida; Pantopoda; Callipallenidae. RNAcentral also lists the same sequence under 1 other name.
AUCUAAUUAGUAUAAUUAAAGUACAAUUGACUUCCAAUCAAUAAGUUUUUUAAAAAAUUAGAAA